This is a long non-coding RNA of Lathyrus oleraceus (garden pea), 697 nucleotides long. RefSeq lists it as uncharacterized. The record is from RefSeq and is a predicted model, not a curated record. The transcript is spliced from 3 exons. Lineage: Eukaryota; Viridiplantae; Streptophyta; Magnoliopsida; Fabales; Fabaceae.
UAUGUCCUUAAGUCAGUUCUGCAAAAUCAAACAUGAAACUUUAUGUGUUACUGUAGCAACCACAUUGAAAUUUGCUGUCUCAAAGUAUGGAUGGUUUUAUUAUGGUUGCACAAGGUGUUCUUCGAAGGCACCUAAUCCUGAAAAAGCUUAUGAAUGUUCAUGUGGGCAAAAAGUCGAACAACCUAUACCAAGGUACAUAUAAUCUAGAUGAAUUGCAAAUAAAUUUGGUAAUGGAUUUGUUAUUAAUCAUAUUAUUUUCUUCGUUUAAAAUACUAUAGGUACAAGAUUGAGAUAUAUGUUAGCAAUGGUGAAUCAAAAUAUCGAUUUGUAUUCUGGGAUUCCGAAUGUGCUGCUAUACUUGGAAUGACUGCUGAAUUUAUGCAUAACUCUAUGGUGGAGGUACAUUGUUAUACAUAAGUUAAAAUGUUAAUAGUUUAUCGAGUUGUAAAGUUCAGAUUAUCACUCAUGGUUGAUAUUUUAUUUUUCCAUUAGAAUGGAGAAGAUGAUCCAAUGGUUUAUCCUGAUGAGCUUGAAAUGCUGUUGAAUAAGAAAAUGGCUUUUAGAGUUAAGGUGCAGCCAACGUUUUCCCAAGCGUCUGUUUGGAAGCUUUGUGAUGAUGAAGCCUUUGUUAAAGAGAUUGAAAAUGACUACAUAGUAGAAGACAAUCAGUCUAAAACUGAAUAUGCAAAGUUGGUCC